RNAcentral lists this ribosomal RNA (728 nucleotides) under uncultured bacterium. RNAcentral describes it as "bacterial SSU rRNA". It matches the Rfam family "Bacterial small subunit ribosomal RNA", at positions 57 to 758 of the family's 1533-position model. The record is from RNAcentral.
GCAGUCGAACGAGUAAAGCUCCCUUCGGGGAGUGAGUAAAGUGGCGAACGGGAGAGUAACGCGUGGGAAACCUGCCCUUCAGCGGGGGACAACACCUCUAACGAGGUGCUAAUACCGCAUACGACCUGGAGACCGCAUGAUCACCAGGUGAAAGAUGGCCUCUGCUUGCAAGCUGUCACUGAAGGAUGGUCCCGCGUCCCAUUAGUUUGUUGGUGGGGUAAUGGCCUACCAAGACUACGAUGGGUAGCCGGCCUGAGAGGGUGUCCGGCCUCACUGGGACUGAGAUACGGCCCAGACUCCUACGGGAGGCAGCAGUCGAGAAGCUUCGGCAAUGGACGAAAGUCUGACCGAGCGACGCCGCGUGAGCGAUGAAGGCCCUAGUGGUCGUAAAGCUCUGUCAGGAGGGAAUAAAUGCCUGUGGUUAAUACCCGCAGGAGUUGAAGGUACCUCCAGAGGAAGCGCCGGCUAACUACGUGCCAGCAGCCGCGGUAAUACGUAGGGCGCAAACGUUGUUCGGAUUUACUGGGUUUAAAGGGUUCGUAGGCGGACUGAUAAGUCAGAGGUGAAAGCCAACGGCUCAACCGUUGAAUGGCCUCUGAUACUGUCAGUCUUGAGUCCGCUAGGGGAUGGUGGAAUUCCUGGUGUAGCGGUGAAAUGCGUAAAUAUCAGGAGGAACACCAGUGGCGAAAGGCGGCCAUCUGGGGCGGAACUGACGCUGAUGAACGAAA